UUGAUAUACUGUUGGAGGUUCUGGCCUACAAGCAAUUUCUCUAAUCUUGAUUUAGUUGUACAGCACUAAAUGCCCAUAGUGAAAUAUCUAAGUGAUUCAAAUAUGUGUGGACAUUAUCUGAAUGUAAGGGUGUAGCAUUUGUUUUGAAAACUGAAACUGCAGUUUUUAUCUAACUUAAAUGUGUAUUAACUAGUAAAUGCCUAGAUGUAUUUUUUUCAGCUGCCCACUAUCCUUACUUUGUUACUGUCAAAGAAACUGGUUGAUUUUUCCUCUUCAGAAAGGCAUUUGUUUUAACCUUAAAAUUUGUUGAAUGGAUUUCUAGGA
This 324-nucleotide unclassified non-coding RNA is filed under the name Hevea brasiliensis (rubber tree). The record is from RNAcentral. Lineage: Eukaryota; Viridiplantae; Streptophyta; Magnoliopsida; Malpighiales; Euphorbiaceae.